GUUUUUAAUUUUCCCUUUUUUACAGCCCAGAGUUAAAUAGAAGACAUGUUCAGGAUCUGAUUGCCAAAAGAGCAAUAAUCCCCAAUCCAUCAGAUCAAGGCUGGAAGAAAAAUGGAGGGGAAUAGCACCUGCAAGACAGCACCAGCAGGCAGAAGAUACCUGAUUGUUCAGUCUGGAUUCCCU
RNAcentral lists this long non-coding RNA (183 nucleotides) under Struthio camelus australis. RNAcentral describes it as "lncRNA (ENSSCUG00000012509.1)". Lineage: Eukaryota; Metazoa; Chordata; Aves; Struthioniformes; Struthionidae. The record is from RNAcentral.